CCUCUUGCCAAGCCAUGCUGUGGUAGGCGUCCCACAUAUAAAGAGUAGAGGAAGAUGGGCACUGAUGUUAGCUCAGGGCCAGUCUUCCUCAGCAAAAAGAGGAGGACUGGCAGCAGAUGUUAGCUCAGGGUUUAUCGUCAAGAAAAAAAAACCUAUAUUGUAUUAUGGGGUUUAUAAUAUAUAUAAAUCUAAAGUAUAUUGCACAAUAGUGCAAAAGAAGAAAUGUGUUAAUGGAAUUUUUGGAAACUUCUUAGAUUUUAUAUGCAAAACAUAACACUAAGUCAGCAACGAUAAGUUAAGUAUAUAAUAACUGAGUAAAUUCAGUGAGAUACAGCUAAAAGGUAAAAUAAAAUAGAUAAAUUAGGUAUAUUUUAAUUAAACAAAAUUAUAAUAUUAAAUGAAAUCAACAACAUAUUAACAUAAUUGAAGAAAAGGAAGAAAAGAAACAGAAGAACAAAAAAGGAGAAAAGAAAAACAAAUGGCAUCAUGGUAGACUUAUACAAACACAUUAAAAAUUACAAUAAAAGAAAGUAUACUAAAUACAACAAUUAAAAUAUAGAUAAUCUGGAUAAAAAUGCACGAUGCAACUAUGUGCUAUCUAUAGAAAACGUGGCUUAAAUAUGCAGACACAUAUAUAUUGGUUAGAAGUAAAAAAAUGGAAAAGAAUACACCAUGCAAAGACUAAUCAUAAGCAAGCUAGAGGGCUUACUAACAUCAUUCAAAAUAGACUUUAGGUGAAAAAAUAUUAGUAUGGGUAAAGAAAGACAUUUCAUAAUAAUAAAAGAGUCAGUCAAAGAGGCAUAACAAAACUAAAUACGUGUGCGGUGACUGCAGAUAUACAAAAUACAUGAGGCAAAAACUGAAAGCCCUGAAGGGAAAAAUACAAAAUCAUCGUUGAAGCUUCUAAUGCUCUUCUUUCAGUACUUGGUAAAAACAAUGAUUAAAAAAUCGAUAUGUAGGGGCCAGCCCCGUGGCCAAGUGGUUAAGUUUGCGCGCUCCGCUGCGGCGGCCCAGGAUUUCCCUGGUUCGGAUCCUGGGCGCGGACAUGGCACCACUCAUCAGGCCACGGUGAGGCGGAGUCCCACAUGCCACACCUAGAAGGACACACAACUAAAAUAUACAACUAUAUACUGGGGGGAUUUGGGGAGAAAAAAGCAGAAAAAAAAAAAGGAAGAUUGGCAACCGUUGUUAGCUCAGGUGCCAAUAAUAAAAAAGAAAAAAUCGAUAUGUAUAGAGAUGUAAAAGUAUGCUAUAAUGCAACUUGAUUUAACUGAUCGUUCUAAGGUAUGACAUUUAACUUUGCAGACUACACGAUGCCCCAAAUUGUCUAGAAAAAUUCAAAAGUGAAGAAUCUUACAAAGCAUAUUCUGACAGUAAAAUAAUUAAAUUAAAAAAAUUAAUAUAAAAAGUGUGCAUAUUAAGCACCAUACUCCUAAGGUAACCAACAGGUCAAAGAAAAACUACAAAACAGAAAAAAAAUGAAUGAGUUGAUCAAUUGAAUUGAAUGAUAAUUUGAAAACACAAUAUCAAAAUUUGGGGAAUGCAACUAAUGUUAGGCUUAGAGGUAAAUGUAUAGUUGUCAGUGAUUACGUUAGAAGAGAAAAACGUUUGAAAUCAAUUAUCUCUUUCCAACUUAAGCAACUAGAAAAUGAAGAAAAAAUUAAACUAAAAGUAAGUAGAAAAAAGGAAUGUAGAAAGCAAUUGAAAUCAAUUAAAUAAAAAACAAAUAGUAAAGAUAACAAAGACAAAAAUUUGUUCUUUAUAAUAAACCUGUCUGACUAAGAAAAAAAUAGGUAGUGAAAAAGUACAGAUUUAAUUUCAGAUCUUAUAGAUAUUUUAAGUUUAUACCAGUAAAUUUGACCUCUCAGAAGAAAAAGACAAAUUCCUUAAACACAAUUAAAUAGAAAAAUCUGAAUAGUAUUACAUCUGAUAAAGAAAUUGAAUUCAUAAAUUAUAAACCUUUCCACAUAGAAAACUCAAGGCAUAGAUGAUUCCACUGAUAAACUCUAUCAAGCAUUUCAAGAAGAAAAAAUACCAAUCUUAAACAAAAUCCUUUAGAUAAUAGAGGAAUAAGCUGAACUUCCUAACUCAUUUACAAGGCCAGCCUUACAAAACUUUACAGGAAAAGAAAAUUAGACAAAUAUCACACAUGAAUACAGAUAUAAAAAUCCCCUUAACAAAACAUUAACUAAUUUAAUGGAGUAAUAUAUAAAAAGCAUAAUACAUAAUGGCAAAAUGGGUUGUACUCAAGAAUGUAAGUUCCAUCUAUCAUUUAGAAAUCAAUCAUUGUAAUUCCAUAGUAACAAAAUAAAAGAGAAAAAAAUCAUAUGGUUACCUCAAUAGAUAUAGAAAAAUUACUCAAUGAAAUCCAACAGUAAUUCAUGGUAAAUACUCUUAACAAACUGAGAAGAGAAAGGAACAUCCUCAGUCUGAAAAGGAGCAUCAAUGAUAAGCCUAUACCUGACAUCACAAUUAAUGAUGAAGCACUGAACACUUUGCUUCCAAGAUUAGGAAGAGAACGUUUGUUUUCACCACUUCUAUUAAGCGUUACACUGAAGAUCAAGACUAGUGCAAUAAGUCAACGAAAACAAAAACAAAAAACAACGUAUACAAAGAUCAGAAAAAAGAAGCAAAAAAAAAAAACCUGAGGAAAUUAACAAAAACUAGAACUAAGUGAAUAUAGGAAGAUUAUGGACACAAAAUAUAAAAACAAAUUGUAUAUCUUCAUACAGGAAGGAAAAGUAUGGUGCAUAAAAUUAAAAAUAAACGUGUUAUUUAAAAUAGUAUUGAAAAUCCAAAAUAUUUAUGAAUAUAUUAGGCAAAAGAUGUGUAAGAACUCUUACUCUGAAAAGCACCAAAAAAGUACUGAAAAGUUAAAGAAAUCAUGAACAAGUAAAGAAAUAUACAAUAUUCAGGGAUUGGAAGAUUUAAUAAUAUGAAAAUGCUAAUUCUCCCAAGAUUCAUGUAUCAAUUCAAUGCAAUCCCAGUCAAAACUCUGCCAAUAAAUUUGAAAUCUCAGAAACAAUGACAAAUUCCUUCAAAGCCACAGGAUUUUUGUAGAAACUAACAAGCAAAUUCUAUUGUUUUAACGAAAUUCAGAAGACUCAGAAUGGCCAGAACAAUUUUCAAAGAGAAUAGUAAAGUUAGAGGACAUACACUACAGGAUUUUAAUAACACUAAAAAUACAGUAAUCAUGAUCUUGUGGUAUCAUCAUAAGGACAGACAUAUAAAUGAAUGGAACAGAAUAAAGAGCGUAGAAAUAGAUACACACAUAUGUGGUCAACUGAACUUCAACAAAGUUGCUAAUACAAUGUAAUGGAUAAAGGAUUGCUUUUCAAUGCAUUUUUCUGGAACAACUAUAUAGAAAAAAUAAACUUUGACCCUUAACUCAUAAUAUGAACAAAAAUUAAUUAGAAAUAUACCUAAAAUAAAUAAAAGCCCAUAAAUUAAGGAGCAAAAUAUUUAAAAAGACUCUUCACCAAAGAAGAUAUUUGAAUGGUAAGUAAACUCAUAAAAAGUUAUUCAAUAUCAAUAGUAAUCAAGGAAAUAGAAAAUAAAAUAACAGAAAGGUGUCCAUUAAGGUAAUUAAAAUUAAAGAAUGACUUUAAGUGUUGGUGAGGAUGAGAAGCAUCUGGAACUCUCAUAUAAUGGUACAACCAUUUCAGAAUUUUCUUUGGCAUUUUCUUUAAAAGUUAAACAUAUCCCUGCCGUAUGGCAUAGUCAUUCUCCUCCUAAGUAUUUAUCCAAGAAAAAUAAAAACCUACGUCCAAAAGAAUUCUUAUACACAAUAUUUAUAUUAGCUAUAUUAAAAUAGCCAAAAAGUGAAAACAACUACAUCAUCAGUCUGCCAGUAAAUAGACAAAUAGAUUUUAAUGCAUACACAAAAUGGAAUUUUACUUAGAAAAAAAGA
Long non-coding RNA from Equus caballus (horse), 3910 nucleotides. The record is from Ensembl. Lineage: Eukaryota; Metazoa; Chordata; Mammalia; Perissodactyla; Equidae.